AUAGAUACUUUGUAUUCUUUAAAUUAUAAUAGAUGAAAAUUGCACUUCAGUCAUCACUCGACUGCAUAAUGUGUGGUAGUGGGGGACUGCGUUCACGCUCUCCCCGU
Molecule: small nuclear RNA, 107 nt
Filed under: Erinaceus europaeus (western European hedgehog)
Lineage: Eukaryota; Metazoa; Chordata; Mammalia; Eulipotyphla; Erinaceidae
Description: U1 spliceosomal RNA (ENSEEUG00000022888.1)
Source: RNAcentral